CAGUCGAACGGCAGCACGGGAGCAAUCCUGGUGGCGAGUGGCGAACGGGUGAGUAAUAUAUCGGAACGUGCCCAGUAGUGGGGGAUAGCCCGGCGAAAGCCGGAUUAAUACCGCAUACGACCUGAGGGUGAAAGCGGGGGAUCGCAAGACCUCGCGCUAUUGGAGUGGCCGAUAUCAGAUUAGCUAGUUGGUGGGGUAAAGGCCUACCAAGGCUACGAUCUGUAGUUGGUCUGAGAGGACGACCAGCCACACUGGGACUGAGACACGGCCCAGACUCCUACGGGAGGCAGCAGUGGGGAAUUUUGGACAAUGGGCGCAAGCCUGAUCCAGCAAUGCCGCGUGCAGGAAGAAGGCCUUCGGGUUGUAAACUGCUUUUGUCAGGGAAGAAAUCUUCUGGGCUAAUACCCCGGGAGGAUGACGGUACCUGAAGAAUAAGCACCGGCUAACUACGUGCCAGCAGCCGCGGUAAUACGUAGGGUGCGAGCGUUAAUCGGAAUUACUGGGCGUAAAGCGUGCGCAGGCGGUUAUAUAAGACAGAUGUGAAAUCCCCGGGCUCAACCUGGGAACUGCAUUUGUGACUGUAUAGCUAGAGUACGGCAGAGGGGGAUGGAAUUCCGCGUGUAGCAGUGAAAUGCGUAGAUAUGCGGAGGAACACCGAUGGCGAAGGCAAUCCCCUGGGCCUGUACUGACGCUCAUGCACGAAAGCGUGGGGGGCAAACAGGAUUAGAUAC
Molecule: ribosomal RNA, 731 nt
Filed under: uncultured bacterium
Lineage: Bacteria
Description: bacterial SSU rRNA
Rfam family: Bacterial small subunit ribosomal RNA
Source: RNAcentral